UGGGGAAUAUUGGACAAUGGGGGAAACCCUGAUCCAGCGACGCCGCGUGUGUGAAGAAGGCCUGCGGGUUGUAAAGCACUUUCGGUGGGAACGAAAUAUGCCGGGCUAAUACCCCGGUAGGCUGACGUUACUCAAUGAAGAAGCACCGGCUAACUCUGUGCCAGCAGCCGCGGUAAUACAGAGGGUGCGAGCGUUAAUCGGAAUUACUGGGCGUAAAGCGCACGUAGGUGGCGACGUAAGUCGGGUGUGAAAGCCCCGGGCUCAACCUGGGAACCGCAUUCGAGACUGCGUUGCUGGAGUACGGAAGAGGAGGGCGGAAUUCCCGGUGUAGCGGUGAAAUGCGUAGAUAUCGGGAGGAACAUCAGUGGCGAAGGCGGCCCUCUGGUCCAGUACUGACACUCAAGUGCGAAAGCGUGGGGAGCAAACAGGAUUAGAUACCCAAGUAGUCCCUGAGCGGGCUGGCAAGGCGCAU
This 472-nucleotide ribosomal RNA is filed under the name uncultured bacterium. Its description in RNAcentral is "bacterial SSU rRNA". It matches the Rfam family "Bacterial small subunit ribosomal RNA", at positions 355 to 825 of the family's 1533-position model. The record is from RNAcentral.